GGAUGCGAUCAUACCAGCACUAAAGCAACGGAUCCCAUCAGAACUCCGAAGUUAAGCGUGCUUGGGCGAGAGUAGUACAAGGAUGGGUGACCUCCUGGGAAGUCCUCGUGUUGCAUUCC
Molecule: ribosomal RNA, 119 nt
Filed under: Triticum aestivum (bread wheat)
Lineage: Eukaryota; Viridiplantae; Streptophyta; Magnoliopsida; Poales; Poaceae
Source: RNAcentral